UUUUUCGUUGUAGCAAUACGAUGGAAAGUCUAGCGGCGAACGGGUGCUUAACACGUGGGCAACCUGCCAUGAAGUGGGGGAUAGCUCGCCGAAAGGCGAAUUAAUACCGCAUGUGAUUAGAGAGGACAUCCUUUCGAAAUUAAAGUCGGGGCAACCUGACGCUUCUUGUGGGGCCCGCGGCCUAUCAGCUAGUUGGUGAGGUAACGGCUCACCAAGGCUUUGACGGGUAGCUGGUCUGAGAGGACGACCAGCCACACUGGGACUGAGACACGGCCCAGACACCUACGGGUGGCAGCAGUCGAGAAUUUUUGACAAUGGGGGAAACCCUGAUCGAGCGACGCCGCGUGGAGGAUGAAGGUCUUCGGAUUGUAAACUCCUGUCAUUGGGGAACAAGGUGCAUACGUUAACUGCGUGUGCAUUGAUAGUACCCGAAGAGGAAGAGACGGCUAACUCUGUGCCAGCAGCCGCGGUAAUACAGAGGUCUCAAGCGAUGUUCGGAUUCAUUGGGCGUAAAGGGUGCGUAGGCGGCGCGGUAAGUCGGGUGUGAAAUCUCGGAGCUUAACUCCGAAACUGCAUUCGAUACUGCCGUGCUUGAGGACUGGAGAGGAGACUGGAAUUUACGGUGUAGCGGUGAAAUGCGUAGAUAUCGUAAGGAAGACCAGUGGCGAAGGCGGGUCUCUGGACAGUUCCUGACGCUGAGGCACGAAGGCCAGGGGAGCAAACGGGAUUAGAUACCCCGGUAGUCCUGGCAGUAAACGGUGCACGUUUGGUGUGGGAAGAAUUCGA
RNAcentral lists this ribosomal RNA (786 nucleotides) under uncultured Verrucomicrobiota bacterium. Its description in RNAcentral is "bacterial SSU rRNA". It matches the Rfam family "Bacterial small subunit ribosomal RNA", at positions 67 to 836 of the family's 1533-position model. The record is from RNAcentral. Lineage: Bacteria; Pseudomonadati; Verrucomicrobiota.